This 215-nucleotide long non-coding RNA is filed under the name Phoenix dactylifera (date palm). RNAcentral describes it as "long non-coding RNA (PDAC_LNC011686)". The record is from RNAcentral. Lineage: Eukaryota; Viridiplantae; Streptophyta; Magnoliopsida; Arecales; Arecaceae.
ACUCGAGGUAUGUUCCUUGAAAUUUUUCUUUGAAUUUGCUCCUCCAACUUGAAUUCUUUGAACUUGAGACCUGGGCCAAUGAAGUGUGGCUUUCUUCCAAUUUUUCUUGAGAGAUUUUGAGGCCUUCUUGUAUUCUUCCAACUUGCUAUGUUUCUUGCAAAACAAAUUAUCUUUCUUCUUGCAACACAACCAUUAGUAAUUAUAUUUCAAGAUUU